This 279-nucleotide long non-coding RNA is filed under the name Gallus gallus (chicken). Lineage: Eukaryota; Metazoa; Chordata; Aves; Galliformes; Phasianidae. The record is from RNAcentral.
GGUAUCUUUCCACUUUUAGAAAUCCCUGAUUUAACAUUCGUUGACAAACCAAGUCCAUUCGUUUACAAACCAGACGGAGCUGGCUCGUCUCGUCGUAGGACAGGAAGCUGAGGAUGCUCUCGAUGGCCACGAUGGGCAGCCCCAUCAGCGUGUUGCUCUGAGGCGGCUGCUCCAAGGGCGCCGGGGCCUCGGGAGACUGCGAGAGCGGGGGCGGGGAGAGCCGCGCCGAGCCCGGGGCGCCGCCUUCCCCCUCCGACAGGAGCCGCUCCUCCGCCGCCG